GAUGUUUUAACUGUGCUUUAUGAACUGUUUUCCUGUUUGUGGCAGUGGAGGCACCAUAUACCAGCUGCCUCAGAGACAAGGCACGGGAAAUGGAGAUGUGACUAAGGUGGAGAGAGGUGUGAUCCUCCCUGACCUCUGCACCUCCCACAGAUCUGCUCUUGCCUUGUGCAGAUGUUGCUUAAUUUGUGGCACUGACACUUUUAAGGAACCUCACCAGCAGUCCGUGUAUAUUGAGGAGAAGGCGCUACAGAUCUGGACACCAUUGGACUAUGAUAACCCCCAAGUACUGGGAGAUACGAGCUUCUAA
RNAcentral lists this long non-coding RNA (307 nucleotides) under Taeniopygia guttata (zebra finch). Its description in RNAcentral is "lncRNA (ENSTGUG00000025153.1)". Lineage: Eukaryota; Metazoa; Chordata; Aves; Passeriformes; Estrildidae. The record is from RNAcentral.